UCAGGAAACUGGGGCUAAUACCGGAUAGGAGCUCCUGCUGCAUGGUGGGGGUUGGAAAGUUUCGGCGGUUGGGGAUGGACUCGCGGCUUAUCAGCUUGUUGGUGGGGUAGUGGCUUACCAAGGCUUUGACGGGUAGCCGGCCUGAGAGGGUGACCGGCCACAUUGGGACUGAGAUACGGCCCAGACUCCUACGGGAGGCAGCAGUGGGGAAUAUUGCACAAUGGGCGGAAGCCUGAUGCAGCAACGCCGCGUGCGGGAUGACGGCCUUCGGGUUGUAAACCGCUUUCGCCUGUGACGAAGCGUGAGUGACGGUAAUGGGUAAAGAAGCACCGGCUAACUACGUGCCAGCAGCCGCGGUGAUACGUAGGGUGCGAGCGUUGUCCGGAUUUAUUGGGCGUAAAGGGCUCGUAGGUGGUUGAUCGCGUCGGAAGUGUAAUCUUGGGGCUUAACCGGCAGCGGGAUUUCGAUACGGGUUGACUUGAGGAAGGUAGGGGAGAAUGGAAUUCCUGGUGGAGCGGUGGAAUGCGCAGAUAUCAGGAGGAACACCAGUGGCGAAGGCGGUUCUCUGGGCCUUUCCUGACGCUGAGGAGCGAAAGCGUGGGGAGCGAACAGGCUUAGAUACCCUGGUAGUCCACGCUGUAAACGGUGGGUACUAGGUGUGGGGUCCAUUCCACGGGUUCCGUGCCGUAGCUAACGCUUUAAGUACCCCGCCUGGGG
This 717-nucleotide ribosomal RNA is filed under the name uncultured Propionibacterium sp. RNAcentral's name for it is "bacterial SSU rRNA". It matches the Rfam family "Bacterial small subunit ribosomal RNA", at positions 149 to 878 of the family's 1533-position model. Lineage: Bacteria; Bacillati; Actinomycetota; Actinomycetes; Propionibacteriales; Propionibacteriaceae. The record is from RNAcentral.